GUCAAUCAACUAUAUUUCAAUUAAAAAACAAAAAAUAGAUAAUAUAAAGUAGAUGUAUUAUAAUAGGGCAUUGAGAAUCUAACACAAAUAUAAUUUAGGUUACUUAAAAAAUUCCUUUCUUCCUUCUCUCCUUCUUUCUUCUUUGCAUCCUUUUUCUUCCUCUCUUUCCUUCUUUCCUUCCUUCUAUAAAUAGCUACCAAAUGUUGAGUGUUAGCAUCAUGCUAAGGAUGGUUCAUAGAUAUUUGCAUUGAAUCCCUGCAAUUACUGUCUGAAAUGGAAAUAACUUGCUAUCUUACUUCAAGCUCCUGCUUUGACUACCACACUAUACUGCUUCCAAAAAAGGGGGUUUUGUGGGUUUUUUUCCCCAAGGAACCAUUGUUUGCAGGCAUAGCCUCUAGUUCAGAGGGAUACUUAGAAACAGAAAAUGUUUCCUUUACUUGUCAAAGAAGUUGUUGGGAAAUCUAUAGGCCAAGGUAAAGGAAGUACAUGGCUCAUUAGCAGCAGAAGAAAUACAGAUUAAGCUAGUUGGUCUUAUUACCUUUCUAUAAUAGGGGUGGAGCAGGCCACACAGUCAUUAUCUGGACACGCUAGGCACUGUUCUCGCGAGACCCUGAGCACUGUUCUCGCGAGACCCUGAGCUCUGAGGUUUGAGGAUCAGCUCUACUAACAGUCAGCUUCACUGUGGUCCUCAUGGCAGAGAGUGCGGUGUGAGGUGGAUUGCAGCUUUCUCCUGAAGCCUUCCAGGCCUAGAGGCCAGCAGAAUCUUUGAGGUUACAAGAAUCAUGCACUAGAGGCUAUUUCUCCUUGUUUCAGAAAGAUGAGGACCUUGAUCAGAAGGGUGAGAAGUUCACUCUGGAAUUCUCUCAUGGGACUCUUCAAUUCAGUUGUGACAUUUAAUACAACCCUCAUGAUUUAUGAGAACUCAGAGAAUCCUGGGGAUCUUCCUGACCCAGGGAUCAAACCUGCAUCUCUUAUGUCUCCUGCAUUGGAAGAUGGAUUCUUUACCGCUAGCACCACCUGGGAAGUCCAGUAACCUCUGAUAUACCUCCAAAUCAAAAGCAGCCUUCAUGGAUAUUGAAUGCUUAUAGUUUUCCUUUUUUAAGGAAAAGUGAAUUCUAAAAUUUUAAAUUAAAUAGUUUAAUGGAGCUUGGAUAUUCUUAUAUUCCUGUCGUGUUGAUUAUACCUCAUGAUAAGUAAGCAUUAGGAGAUCGCUUGCCAGAUCACAUAAACAUGCAUGGAAUAUCUCAAGGGGCCAAAUGUAAUUAUUCUUCUAAAGAUUCUUGGGCUCCAUUUUAUUUCUUAAGAUAGAUCUAUAAAUCUGAUAGCAAUUGAACUACAUCAAGUAUAUGAAGCCCUUAAAUAAAUGUAAGGAAAAGACAGAAUCCUUAAAAUGUCAUGUCAAAGUAAAUAACUGGGUGCUUCCAAGCAAAGACAGCUUUACAUCAGCAUGGAUACCAACACAUGGAAGCAAUUAAUAGAAAUAUUUUCAGUGAGAAAUAGAAACAUAUCUAUGGCCAUUACUGAAAUGCAUUAAACAAGAUGAACUUUUUGGAGAAAGUGAAAAAAUAAUAUUUGCUAAAAAAAUAAAAGCUUUUUGGCUGUCAUACAGUAAUGUGUAAUACUAGUGUUUCUUAAGUUCCCAGACCUUCAAUCCUCUUUAUUCACGAGUGCGUUGGAAACAGCAGAUUCUGAUUCAAAUCACCUUAAAUUCAAGCACUGCAUUAAUGGUUGUUGGCCUCCUUGGAGGAUUUUCCUAGAAUGAUUGUGCUGUCUGGAAUUUUAUUUGUUUGUUUUCAAAAUGAAGGAAAAAAUAAUCCAGAGCUGGUUAUGGAUCACAUAGUGUAUAUGUCUUUUAAGAAAUUAUUUGCUGAAAAAUUACAUUCCAAAAAAAGCAAAAUUUCCCCCCUGCAAAAAAACCAUUUCUUUUACUUCUUAAGCCCCAAA
Molecule: long non-coding RNA, 1944 nt
Organism: Bubalus bubalis (water buffalo)
Lineage: Eukaryota; Metazoa; Chordata; Mammalia; Artiodactyla; Bovidae
Exons: 3
Source: RefSeq, a predicted model, not a curated record